This 373-nucleotide unclassified non-coding RNA is filed under the name soil metagenome. Its description in RNAcentral is "partial contains 5.8S ribosomal RNA, internal transcribed spacer 2, and large subunit ribosomal RNA". The stretch from base 1 to 121 matches the Rfam family "5.8S ribosomal RNA", at positions 35 to 154 of the family's 154-position model. The record is from RNAcentral.
GAUGAAGAACGCAGCGAAAUGCGAUAAGUAAUGCGAAUUGCAGAAUUCCAGUGAGUCAUCGAAUCUUUGAACGCACAUUGCGCCCUUUGGUAUUCCGAAGGGCAUGCCUGUUCGAGCGUCAUUAUCACCCCUCAAGCCCUCGGCUUGGUGUUGGACGGUUUGGUGGAGGCCCCCUCGGGGGCUCCUGCCCCUCCCAAAGACAAUGAUGGCGGCCUCGUUGGACCCCCGGUACACUGAGUUCUUCACGGGACACGUAUCGGACACAUGGGUUUACGGGACACGGUCUGCCUCCCCUCAGGGAGAAUCUUUCUAAGGUUGACCUCGGAUCAGGUAGGGAUACCCGCUGAACUUAAGCAUAUCAAUAAGCGGAGGA